Molecule: ribosomal RNA, 498 nt
Filed under: uncultured bacterium
Lineage: Bacteria
Description: partial 16S ribosomal RNA
Rfam family: Bacterial small subunit ribosomal RNA
Source: RNAcentral
AUUGAACGCUGGCGGCAUGCCUUACACAUGCAAGUCGAACGGUAACAGGUCCUCGGAUGCUGACGAGUGGCGAACGGGUGAGUAAUACAUCGGAACGUGCCUAGGAGUGGGGGAUAACUACUCGAAAGAGUGGCUAAUACCGCAUGAGAUCUAAGGAGGAAAGCAGGGGAUCGCAAGACCUUGUGCUACUAGAGCGGACGAUGGCAGACUAGGUAGGUGGUGGGGUAAAAGCUGACCAAGCCAACGAUCUGUAGCUGGUCUGAGAGGACGAUCAGCCACACUGGGACUGAGAAACGGCCCAGACUCCUACGGGAGGCAGCAGUGGGGAAUUUUGGACAAUGGGCGCAAGCCUGAUCCAGCAAUGCCGCGUGCAGGAUGAAGGCCUUCGGGUUGUAAACUGCUUUUGUACGGAACGAAAAGCCCCGGGUUAAUACCCUGGGGUCAUGACGGUACCGUAAGAAUAAGCACCGGCUAACUACGUGCCAGCCGCCGCGGUAA